AAAAAGUAGUAUACAUCUCCUUCAUUUCAUGAGCUAUGGCAAGCCUCGCGUUGCCGAAACGGUUAAAGUCUCGUGUUUGUAGCAAGUUUUGUGAUAAAGGGGUUUCAUUUUCUGGUAUUGGGAUAAACUCAUGAUGGAUGGUUCAUGUUUUUGUUGCUGAUUACAAUCAUGAGCUAUAAUAAACUUUUAUUCGUCCAUACAUAUCUAUGUAGCCUAGUGUGCCUAUAAUUAAAUAGAGACAUCGACAAGCUUUCCCAGACAUCUCAAAUCAAAUCAAAACAACUUACAGAAUAACAGCAAUCUCGACAAGGUUUACAAGUUUUCAUCUUUCCCACAUCCAAUGCAACAAAUUCCGUCACGAACUAUAACACACACACACACACACACUACUAGAUUAGAUGAUAUGUUGUUCUAUUAAUGCACAGAACAGGUUGACUGACAAUUGCUUUUCAUGUUUAUUUUUUCCAGGCAAAAGCGAGCACUCCAGCAUGGACAGGAACAACUCAGAACUUUACUUGAAGAACUGCCAGAUCUUUCAAGAGAAUGAGAGGCUCAGGAAGCAAGCUG
Molecule: long non-coding RNA, 567 nt
Filed under: Daucus carota (carrot)
Lineage: Eukaryota; Viridiplantae; Streptophyta; Magnoliopsida; Apiales; Apiaceae
Description: long non-coding RNA (DCAR_LNC006105)
Source: RNAcentral